This 375-nucleotide unclassified non-coding RNA is filed under the name uncultured bacterium. RNAcentral's name for it is "contains 16S-23S intergenic spacer region". The record is from RNAcentral.
UCCGAGUUGACCCCGGCAGUCUCCUACGAGUCCCCGGCAUUAUCCGCUGGCAACUAAGGACAGGGGUUGCGCCCGUUGCGCCACUUAAGGCAACACCUCACGGCACGAGCUGACGACAGCCAUGCAGCACCUGUACGGGCUCCCGAAGGAGGACCGGCUUUCACCGGCUUCACCCCGCAUGUCAAGCCCUGGUAAGGUUCUUCGCGUCGCGUCGAAUUAAGCCACAUGCUCCGCCGCUUGUGCGGGCCCCCGUCAAUUCCUUUGAGUUUCAAUCUUGCGAUCGUACUCCCCAGGCGGUGCGCUUAACACGUUGGCUCCGACACCGAAGGGCAAGCCCCCCGACGUCUAGCGCACAUCGUUUAGGGCGUGGACUAC